AUUCACAAACUGUGAGAUCAUGACCUGAGCCAAAGUGGGACGCUCAACAGACUGAGCCCCCCAGGCACCCCUAAAGCUGCUUAGUAAAGCACCAAGCUCAGUCUUGAUUUGUGCUCAAGACGGCAGCAAAUAAAACACGAGCUCCGCUGGACAGCAGAAGACAAAUUCUUGUUUCCAUUUUAUAGAUGAAACAAACGAGGCCUAAUUCCUCAUAAGAAUGGCUACCAUCACAUCUGAGGGCUCCCCUAGCAUCGGCCACUUUGUUAGUGCUUCAGGCGAAGUAUCUUCUUGGAAACAGUAUGUGGUAGGACAGUGAGGAAACGGAGACACAGACGUUUCCAGUCUCUUACUCAAGAUCUCCAGCUUACCAGUGGCAGAGGCCAGGCCAUCGGACACCAGGGCUCAUGUCCUCAAUGUCUGAGCCACACAGCCUCCCUCAGGCCCAGAGGGUGCUGUGGUCUGCCAAGAUCCUGUGGGACUCCCUGCCCGACACCCCACCCGGGGACUUACCUGGGGCCAUCUCACUGCCAAAGAUGAGGACUCUGGCCUGCGACAUGGUCAGGCAGUGGCGCAGGGCAUCACGCCGCAGGUUGGUGUUGAUGAGGGCUGCCUCCACGCCCAGCUUGGCCAUGCCCAGCCACAGGCCCACAAACUCAUUGCGGUUCUCCAUGAAGAGGGCAGCCACGUCUCCCGAGGCCAGGCCCUGAGCCUGUAGGAAGUUGGCCACGCUGCUUGAGUACUCGUCCAGCUGGCGGAAGGUCCAGUGGUCGUCUGUGCCCUCAAAGAUCAAGGCUAUCUUGUCAGGGUGGCGCUGUACCGUGGAGGCAAACAAAAUGGGCACUGUCCGCCGCUCCCGCAGGUACCGCCGGACCUUUGCCUUCACCUUCAGGAGCACCAUGCCGCCGCUAGGUGGGAGACUCCGGGCCCCAUGUCCAGGUUCCAACUCAUCUGGGACCCCCCACAGCCCUGUACUGGACCUCUCCAGACCGCUGGCAGAGUAAAUAAAGGACAUAUUUGUGAUU
This is a long non-coding RNA of Suricata suricatta (meerkat), 1022 nucleotides long. RefSeq lists it as uncharacterized. Lineage: Eukaryota; Metazoa; Chordata; Mammalia; Carnivora; Herpestidae. The record is from RefSeq and is a predicted model, not a curated record. The transcript has 2 exons.